UGAGACAAGUAGAAGCACCCGCUUCUCACCUGAUCGACACCUUUUGGUAGUUGACUGGUUCUGAACUCUUUUAAUAUAUUAUUGGAGACGUGUGGGUGCAGUAUGUACCGACACUUUUUUAAUGAC
Regulatory RNA element from Virgibacillus sp. SK37, 126 nucleotides. It matches the Rfam family "Ribosomal protein L20 leader". Rfam says of the family: This family is a putative r-protein leader autoregulatory structure found in B. subtilis and other low-GC Gram-positive bacteria. The record is from Rfam. NCBI's taxonomy places the organism in Bacteria, Bacillati, Bacillota, Bacilli, Caryophanales, Bacillaceae.